Neopelma chrysocephalum (saffron-crested tyrant-manakin) is the source of this 185-nucleotide long non-coding RNA. RefSeq lists it as uncharacterized. Lineage: Eukaryota; Metazoa; Chordata; Aves; Passeriformes; Pipridae. The record is from RefSeq and is a predicted model, not a curated record. The transcript is spliced from 3 exons.
GGGCUGGAGCCUGGCCCUCGAGGACACCGGGCUCUGUGCUGAUUUCCACCCCGGGGGGCAGGUGGUGGCCGUGGGGCUGCUCACGGGGCGGUGGCUGGUGCUGGACACGGGGUCCCGGCAGCCCCUGGCCGGGGGCUCUGACGGGAACGAGCAGCUCUCGGUGGUUCGGUUCUCCCCUGGUGAGA